RNA transcript from Lycium ferocissimum, 2688 nucleotides. It is a transcript of the gene named protein CDC73 homolog, with no coding region annotated. The record is from RefSeq and is a predicted model, not a curated record. The transcript has 5 exons. Lineage: Eukaryota; Viridiplantae; Streptophyta; Magnoliopsida; Solanales; Solanaceae.
CCUAGUCCAUAAUUUCACUGUAACAAAACACCUUUCCAGCUUGCAAACCACCACAAUCUUCCAUGGAUCCUCUCACACUCCUUCGCGACUACACAAUCCGCAACGAACUCCACAAAAUCACCCGCAUAGGCGACGACUACCGUUUCAGUAACGACUACACUUUCCCUUGUACAAUCGAAACCGCAUAUCGUUCCAAACACGUGGCAGCCAAUCGCUACACUCUCGAAACCCUAAUCAAUUUCAUCACUAAUCACCACCUUAAACACACCGAGUACAUCCAACAGUCUCGUUCCUUACGUAUUACCCCCGUCACUUUACCGGACCGUAAACCCCUCUUAGAUUACCUCACCGGAAAAACAGCAUCCUCCGACUCAAUCGAAUUCCUCAAAUUCAGCCACGACACGUCAGCAAACGACACGCCAGCGAACGACACGUCAGCUAAUGUGAUUGGGUUGGGUGAUGUUAAUAAUCAGAGUCCUAUUGAGUUGAUUAGAUCUGUGGAGAAGCCAUUGAAGGAUAGGGAAGCGAUUUUGUAUUGUAAAAACAGGGAUUUUUAUAGUGUUUUUACGGCGGCUUUGAGGAGAGAUGAGGAGCGACAAAAGGUUGAAUCUUUACAGAGGAAAGACGGGUUGGUUGCGAAAAAUCGGAUUGAUAGAGGGUUUGGUGGGGGUGGUGGGGAUGAAUUGGUUGGGAAAAUGCAUUUGAAAGGGAGUAAGAUAGGGGAAGGGGUACCGAUUAUAUUGGUACCGAGUGCGUUUUCGACGUUGAUUACGAUUUAUAAUGUGAAGGAGUUUUUGGAGGAUGGGGUGUUUAUACCUACUGAUGAGAAGUUGAAGCAAAUGAAAGGGUCGAAACCGGAUUGUAUAACGGUGCAGAAGAAGUUUAGUAGGGAUAGGGUGGUUACGGCGUAUGAGGUGAGGGAUAAGCCGAGUGCGUUGAAGGCGGAGGAUUGGGAUCGUGUGGUGGCGGUUUUCGUGUUGGGGAAAGAAUGGCAGUUUAAAGAUUGGCCUUUUAAGGAUCAUGUUGAGAUCUUUAAUAGGAUUGUAGGAUUUUUCUUGCGUUUUGAGGAUGACAGCGUGGAGUCUGCGAAGACCGUGAAGCAAUGGAAUGUGAAGAUUAUUUCGAUUAGUAAGAACAAACGCCACCAGGACAGAGCUGCAGCACUUGAGGUGUGGGACAAACUUGAAGAAUUUAUGCGGUCUCGGUCGCAUUGAUGCAUGUUGUGUCUCUAGGUAGACAACUUGCUAAAGUUGUAUUUCCCUUUGCGACCUUCUUUCAGUACAACAUGUUCGUGGUCAAGUAUAUUUUGUAGCAUUUGAAUGCUUCAAAUAACAUGAUAUCUUGCUCUGUGAUGCACCAGGUGAAGUUAGAUGACAAUCGUAUCUUACAAAACUGGACAGCCAAGAGACUUGAAAAAAUCCCAAAGCCUCUGAUCAACUUGUGAAUGUUAAUGGAAAUACAGCUCCCUUAGAUGAAUAUCCUCCUUUUAUAGGUUCUAUGAGGUCUUCUGUGGUGGCACGCCCCUUUUGUUCACCCAUGAAAUUAGUGUAUACAUCCCUUUCUUGUAGGAUAAUCAAUAUCAUUUAUUACGUAGCUUAUUUGGACGUGGCUCAUCAUUUUUAAAUUCGUGUGUUCGCAAAUUAUUUUCUUGAUGGCAAGCAGCUGAUAGCUACGUUUUCUGUUAUAAUUCCGAUCUAUUGUUCAUUUAUUAGUGCUUUGAAUGUAAAUUUUGCCAAUUACACCCCCUCCUUGCCCUCCUCCCUGGCUAAAAAGGAAUAUUCACAAGCUUAGUUAAAUGGUGGAUUAGUUUUUUCUGAUAUAGAAAUGUAUCAUUCUCUUAUAGCCAAUACUAAAAAGUAAAGAACGUUACAUAAAUUAGGACAUAGGAAUAUGUAUAACAGUAAUGAUUGAUGAAAGAAUAUACUACAAUACAAUUACAAAUCAGCCCUGUUGGAAAACUGACUGUUGAAAAAAAGCAAAUGUUUGAAAAGUAAGAGUCCACUUUCAUGACAGAGCAAACUAGCUAAUCAAGAUACAGUAGGUACAAUGCAUUGGAAGUCUACGGUAGGUAGACAGUCAGGCCACGUUGAUUAUUGAAGCAUAAGAAGCAAUAAGGAGAAACAAGAAGGAAAUAGGAGCUGCCAUAUUGGUUGAUGUUGCAUCAUUGGAACCUCCUUGUGAUGAAGAUCCACGUCCUGUCAUAGUUGAUGGCAUCAUGUUAAAGCUCUUCGUAAAACCACAAAUUGAUUGUAUCUUUUAUAGAUCCAAAAGGAGCAAAUUCUAAAGAACUCUAAGAAUUCGGUUGGCAGGUGGAGUCUGAACUUUGCAAGCAGUAGUGAGGGUCGAAGCCUGAGUCUGGCUAAUGUUGAGUCCAAGAUUGGAGCCACCCCCAUUGAGGAGCUGGCACAAGCACUCUGGCUUUUUAUCAACCACCGUGCUAAGCUGCGUGCAGCAACCUGAAAAUUCUGGCGAGGAGUUGUCCGUGAUGUAGUCCAUGCAAGGCAACAUGCUGAUCAACACGUUCGUGCAGUCAUCACUUUCUUGAGCAAUUACUCUUGCCCAGAUCAUCGCGAACACGAUCAAGAGAACACUAAUUUUAUUCCUUCGAUUGGCCAUCCUUUUGUAAAAAUCCCAGUGAAUUGAGGAGAGAAGUGUUUCUGAAUUUAAGAAAGUUGGUCACGUUAAUAA